This 228-nucleotide ribosomal RNA is filed under the name Triticum aestivum (bread wheat). Its description in RNAcentral is "partial small subunit ribosomal RNA". The record is from RNAcentral. Lineage: Eukaryota; Viridiplantae; Streptophyta; Magnoliopsida; Poales; Poaceae.
AUGGAUUUUGCCGUCUUGAAUUGGAAUGUGCGGGGAUUGAAUAACCCUGCGAAGAGACGGGCGGUGCAGUUGUUUGUUGCUGAGAAAAAUUGCAAGAUUGUCUGCCUGCAAGAAACAAAAGUUGGUAACAUGACUAGAGGUCUGGUGAUUGAAGCCUUGGGGCCGCGUUCUUCUGAUAAUUUCAUCUAUCUGCCAGCAAAUGGAUCCAGAGGAGGGAUACUAAUUGCU